AUGAAAUCUCGUAGUGAGGUUCUCUCUAUACACAAACGAUUUGCUGCCAUGGUUCACAGCCAGUUUUCCACGCCUAUUCAUAUUUUUCGUGCUGACUCCGCUGGAGAGUAUAUCUCCCAGCUGUUGCGUGGUUUUCUCGCAGAACAUGGUACCCUUGCCCAGUUCUCAUAUCCUGGUGCUCAUGCUCAGAAUGGUGUUGCAGAACGUAAGCAUCAUCAUCUGCUUGAGACGGCUCGUGCGCCGAUGAUUGCCGCCUCCCUUCCACCCCACUUUUGGGCUGAGGCUGUUUCUGCAUCCACCUAUCUCAUCAACAUCCAGCCAUAG
Molecule: ribosomal RNA, 324 nt
Filed under: Triticum aestivum (bread wheat)
Lineage: Eukaryota; Viridiplantae; Streptophyta; Magnoliopsida; Poales; Poaceae
Description: partial small subunit ribosomal RNA
Source: RNAcentral